GACGAGGGGUCCUAGCGUUGCUCGGAAUUAUUGGGCGUAAAGCGGGUGUAGGUGGCUUUGUAAGUCGGGAGUGAAAGCCCCAGGCUCAACCUGGGAAGUGCUCUCGAUACUGCUUAGCUUGAAUGUGGGAGAGGAUGGUAGAAUUCCUGGUGUAGUGGUGAAAUACGUAGAUAUCAGGAGGAACACCGGUGGCGAAGGCGGCCAUCUGGCCCAACAUUGACACUCAGACCCGAAAGCGUGGGGAUCAAACAGGAUUAGAUACCCUGGUAGUCCACGCCGUAAACGAUGGAUACUUGUUGUUGGUGGUAUUGACCCCAUCAGUGACGAAGCAAACGCGUUAAGUAUCCCGCCUGGGAAGUACGGCCGCAAGGUUA
This 374-nucleotide ribosomal RNA is filed under the name uncultured bacterium. RNAcentral describes it as "bacterial SSU rRNA". It matches the Rfam family "Bacterial small subunit ribosomal RNA", at positions 524 to 896 of the family's 1533-position model. The record is from RNAcentral.